GUACACUCCUACGGGAGGCAGCAGUGGGGAAUUUUGGACAAUGGGCGGAAGCCUGAUCCAGCCAUGCCGCGUGCAGGAUGAAGGCCUUCGGGUUGUAAACUGCUUUUGUACGGAACGAAACGGCCUUUUCUAAUAAAGAGGGCUAAUGACGGUACCGUAAGAAUAAGCACCGGCUAACUACGUGCCAGCAGCCGCGGUAAUACGUAGGGUGCAAGCGUUAAUCGGAAUUACUGGGCGUAAAGCGUGCGCAGGCGGUUAUGUAAGACAGUUGUGAAAUCCCCGGGCUCAACCUGGGAACUGCAUCUGUGACUGCAUAGCUAGAGUACGGUAGAGGGGGAUGGAAUUCCGCGUGUAGCAGUGAAAUGCGUAGAUAUGCGGAGGAACACCGAUGGCGAAGGCAAUCCCCUGGACCUGUACUGACGCUCAUGCACGAAAGCGUGGGGAGCAAACAGGAUUAGAUACCCUGGUAGUCCCAUGA
Molecule: ribosomal RNA, 478 nt
Filed under: uncultured organism
Description: partial 16S ribosomal RNA
Rfam family: Bacterial small subunit ribosomal RNA
Source: RNAcentral